Long non-coding RNA from Engraulis encrasicolus (European anchovy), 124 nucleotides. RefSeq lists it as uncharacterized. Lineage: Eukaryota; Metazoa; Chordata; Actinopteri; Clupeiformes; Engraulidae. The record is from RefSeq and is a predicted model, not a curated record. The transcript has 3 exons.
UUGGUGCCAGCAUCGUUUGCAUCAGAUAAAUCACAACAAAGAUAUGGUGACCCAAGACCCACGGUUAUAUAAGGAGGUGUAUGAAGAAACGACAGCAUAGAGGACCCAGCACAUCCCCUCACAG